This 253-nucleotide ribosomal RNA is filed under the name uncultured bacterium. Its description in RNAcentral is "partial 16S ribosomal RNA". It matches the Rfam family "Bacterial small subunit ribosomal RNA", at positions 524 to 776 of the family's 1533-position model. The record is from RNAcentral.
UACAGAGGUCCCAAGCGUUGUUCGGAUUCACUGGGCGUAAAGGGUGCGUAGGCGGUUUGGUAAGUUUGGCGUGAAAGCCCCGGGCCUAACCCGGGAAUGGCGCUGAAAACUGUCGAACUUGAGGAUUGGAGGGGGGACUGGAAUUCUUGGUGUAGCAGUGAAAUGCGUAGAUAUCAAGAGGAACAUCAGUGGCGAAGGCGGGUCCCUGGACAAAUCCUGACGCUGAGGCACGAAAGCUAGGGGAGCAAACAGG